Molecule: ribosomal RNA, 441 nt
Filed under: uncultured bacterium
Lineage: Bacteria
Description: bacterial SSU rRNA
Rfam family: Bacterial small subunit ribosomal RNA
Source: RNAcentral
UACGGGAGGCAGCAGUGGGGAAUAUUGCACAAUGGGCGCAAGCCUGAUGCAGCCAUGCCGCGUGUAUGAAGAAGGCCUUCGGGUUGUAAAGUACUUUCAGUCGUGAAGGAAGGUGUUAAGGUUAAUAACCUUAGCAAUUAGACGUUAGCGACAGAAGAAGCACCGGCUAACUCCGUGCCAGCAGCCGCGGUAAUACGGAGGGUGCGAGCGUUAAUCGGAAUUACUGGGCGUAAAGGGCACGCAGGCGGUUAAUUAAGUUGGAUGUGAAAUCCCCGGGCUUAACCUAGGAAUGGCAUUCAAGACUGGUUAGCUAGAGUCUUGUAGAGGGGGUAGAAUUCCAUGUGUAGCGGUGAAAUGCGUAGAGAUGUGGAGGAAUACCGGUGGCGAAGGCGGCCCCUGGACAAAGACUGACGCUCAUGUGCGAAAGCGUGGGGAGCAAAC